RNAcentral lists this ribosomal RNA (478 nucleotides) under uncultured bacterium. RNAcentral describes it as "partial 16S ribosomal RNA". It matches the Rfam family "Bacterial small subunit ribosomal RNA", at positions 28 to 507 of the family's 1533-position model. The record is from RNAcentral.
GAUGAACGCUGGCGGCGUGCUUAACACAUGCAAGUCGAACGAGAAGUGGAGACGGAAACCUUCGGGCGGAAGACUUUAUUUCGAGUGGCGGCCGGGUGAGUAACGCGUGGGUAACCUGCCUCAUACAGGGGGAUAACAGUUGGAAACGACUGUUAAUACCGCAUAAGACCACAGCACCGCAUGGUGCGGGGGUAAAAACUCCGGUGGUAUGAGAUGGACCCGCGUUCGAUUAGCCAGUUGGCGGGGUAACGGCCCACCAAAGCGACGAUCGAUAGCCGAUCUGAGAGGAUGACCGGCCACAUUGGGACUGAGACACGGCCCAAACUCCUACGGGAGGCAGCAGUGGGGAAUAUUGCACAAUGGGGGAAACCCUGAUGCAGCGACGCCGCGUGAGUGAAGAAGUAUUUCGGUAUGUAAAGCUCUAUCAGCAGGGAAGAAAAUGACGGUACCUGAGUAAGAAGCCCCGGCUAACUACGUG